Molecule: ribosomal RNA, 912 nt
Filed under: Solanum tuberosum (potato)
Lineage: Eukaryota; Viridiplantae; Streptophyta; Magnoliopsida; Solanales; Solanaceae
Description: rRNA LSU_rRNA_eukarya
Rfam family: Bacterial large subunit ribosomal RNA
Source: RNAcentral
CACCUGCACUUGGACAGAAAGACACUAUGAAUCUUCAUUGAUCCUUGGGAUUGGCUUUGGGCCUUUCAUGCGCAACUUAUGUAAAAGGCGACGAAGGCCUCCUUCCGGGGGCGGGGCGAGCCAUCAGUGAGAUAUCACUUUGGAAGGCCAACAUUUUAACCUUGUGUUCUAUAAGGCGUAAGCCUAAAGGGUAACAGAGGCAUGCAAAGGUUUCCUUGGGCUAGACGAAGAUUGGCCCUCAAGUGCAAAGGCAGAAAGGAGUUUGACUGCUAAACCCACCCAUCGAGCAGGGAUGAAAGUCGGCCUUAGUGAUUCGAUGGUGUCGAGUGGAAGGGCCAUCACUCAACUGAUAAAAGUUACUCUAGAGAUAACAUACUGAUCUUCCCUGAGAUCUUAUAUCGACGAGAAGGAUUGACACUUCGAUGUCGGGUCUUCGCCACCUAGGGUUGUAGUAUGUUCCAAGGGUUGGAUUGUUUGCCCGCUAAAGAGGUACGUGAGCUGGGUUCAGAACGUCGUGAGAUAGUUAGGUCCAUAUCUGGUGAGGGCGUUAGAGCGUUGAGAGGAUCUUUCCAUUGUACGAGAGGACAAGAAAGGACGCACCUUUAGUGUACCAGUUAUCAUACCCACGGUAAACGUUGGGUAGCCAAGUGCGGAGCAGAUAACUGCUGAAAGCAUCUUAGUAGUAAGCCCACCCCAAGAAGAGUGCUCUCAUAUUCCAACUUCCCCAGAUCUUCCAGUAGCACAACCGAGACAAUGAUGGGUUCUCUGCCCCUGUGAGGAUGGAGCGACAUAAGUUGUUUUGUGAAUUCAAGAGAAGGUCACGGCGAGACGAGUCGUUUAUCAUUGCGAUAGGUGUCAAGUGGAAAUGCAGUGAUGUGUGCAGCUGAGGCAUCCUAACAGACGGGUAGACUU